RNAcentral lists this small RNA (28 nucleotides) under Bombyx mori (domestic silkworm). RNAcentral's name for it is "ovarian small RNA-2625". Lineage: Eukaryota; Metazoa; Arthropoda; Insecta; Lepidoptera; Bombycidae. The record is from RNAcentral.
CGACUGGAGGGGAACCCACAGUUGAUGC